ACUGUUUAAUAUUAUAUCAUGUUGAAUUUUUCCCAAUGGUAAUCUUAUGAUGGCUGCAGCUACCUGUUAACUUCAACAAGCACAGUGGCCUGGAGACUACAUGAUGGUGUAUCAGUGAUGGUAAGAGCAUCCUUUUCCCUAGUAUUACUAGGAUUUACAACUGCAAACAUCUCAAGCAGCAGUGCCACAUCCCUGCUACCUCCCUGCUUGUGUGUGUGUCCCUACAUUAUCCAAAAUAGGGGUGGGCUAAUGACGAUUGCAGGCUAACUCCAGCCCACCACUUGCUUCUAUAAAUAAAAUCUUAUUGUACACAAAUGUAGCCAUUUAUUUAAGCACUGUUUGUGGCUGCUUUUCUGUUAAACAUCAGGGUCGAGUAGAUGAGACAGAGAGCAUGUGGUUUGCAAAGCUAAAAAUAUCCUUGCCCUUGUAGAAAAAGUUUGCCAACCCCUGACCUAAGAUAUUAAUUUUCUUCAGUUGAUAUGAAUUUGCUUCACUGAUGGUAUCAUAGAAAACUGUGAUGUGUAUUCCUUCUCCUGUGACUUAUCUCUUUCUUUUUGAUAGGAAAACUAAAAGCAAAACAAGAAG
Molecule: long non-coding RNA, 585 nt
Filed under: Pan paniscus (pygmy chimpanzee)
Lineage: Eukaryota; Metazoa; Chordata; Mammalia; Primates; Hominidae
Description: lncRNA (ENSPPAG00000044386.1)
Source: RNAcentral